CAGGGUCUGGAUUCGUUUCUCAGGACCUAUACUUACAUGGCUACUUCAGUGCUUCUAUCAAGUUGCCUGCAGAUUAUACUGCUGGAGUUGUGGUUGCUUUUUAUAUGUCAAAUGGAGAUAUGUUCGAGAAGAACCAUGAUGAGAUUGACUUUGAGUUCUUGGGUAACAUAAGAGGCAAAGACUGGAGGAUACAGACAAAUAUUUAUGGUAAUGGUAGCACCAACGUUGGCAGAGAAGAAAGAUACAGCCUCUGGUUUGAUCCCUCUGAUGAUUUCCAUCAGUACAGCAUUCUCUGGACUGAUUCCCAGAUCAUAUUUUAUGUGGACAAUGUUCCUAUUAGGGAGGUGAAAAGAACAGUAUCUAUGGGGGGUGAUUUCCCUUCAAAGUCAAUGUCUUUGUAUGCAACGAUAUGGGAUGGGUCUGACUGGGCUACCAAUGGAGGCAAAUAUAGAGUAAAUUACAAAUAUGCACCUUAUGUCACAGAAUUCAGCGACUUUGUGCUACAUGGAUGUGCUGUUGAUCCGAUUGAACAGCACAUAUCAAAAUGUGAUAUUGCAGAGAGUUCUCAAGCAAUCCCCACUGGUGUCACCCCAUUGCAAAGAAUUAAAAUGGACAGUUUUAGGACAAAGUAUAUGACAUAUUCCUAUUGCUAUGAUCAAGCUCGAUACAAGGUUCCUCCAUCUGAGUGCGUUAUUAAUUCCCAAGAAGCUGAACGACUCAAAUCAUUCGAUCCUGUUACAUUUGGAGGAGGCCGGCGCCAUCAUGGGAAACGCCAUCGCCGGAGCAGAUCAAGGCAUCCUGAGGACAUUUCCAUUUAAGGAAGUUGCAUCAUCACUGCAUAAUGUUGGGGAUCAUUGUAUCGAGC
Molecule: unclassified non-coding RNA, 865 nt
Filed under: Hevea brasiliensis (rubber tree)
Lineage: Eukaryota; Viridiplantae; Streptophyta; Magnoliopsida; Malpighiales; Euphorbiaceae
Source: RNAcentral